CUGGUCACCACCACACACUCAAGUCAGCAAAAGGAAAAGCCUGUUUCACUUAAGAAGUUCCUUUAUGAGGUAGUAAAAAUGCUGAUUUUCUUAAAUAUUGACUCUUGAAUACCUGUCGUUUUAACAUUCUUUGUGACAAAAUAAAACCAAGAAUCUGUGAUGGGUUUAUUGUUAUACACACAAGGCACCUGUGCCGCAUUCUAAGUGCAAUGAUUGGCUCAAGGACAGGUGUUUAUGUGAUUGAUUUGAGUGAUGAAUUAGUCACUUUUUUCGUGGAACAGACUUUUUACUCGAAAGAUGACUCACAGACAAACUAUGGUUGUCAGACUUCAGUGUGUAGUAGCAUUUUCUCAAUAAGAAGCCAAGUGGGUCUCUCACUUCAAGGAAAUCAGCUGUUAACAUUUGUUGUCAAUGAUGAAAUUUGAACUUUCAAGUGAAAAUUCAAAUUUUGGAAACUGUAUCCUCCUCUGCAAACACGCACAGCUUUCGGAUUCUUAAGGACUUUUCCGAUGAGAUCUGUGGUGAUACUAAAAAUGUGAUGUGGUGUUUUGAUGUCACAUAAGGAAAUGCGUCAACUCUUGGAAGACUUGUAAAAUCAGAGAACAAAUAUUUUGUAAAUGACCAACUCAAGAUAUUACAAAAUCGUGCAGGUGUAAAAGAUCCAUUCAAAGUGCAAAAAAGACCAAUAGAUUUUAAUGUGACAGAAUAAGAAAAAGUCGUUGAUAUGGCUUCAGAUUCAUAUUUGAAAAAAUGAAAAAUAAUGGCACUCUUCUCUUAAAUAUUUUUUGAAAAUAAAGAUUUUUUAAUGUAAAAAUAUGUUAAUAUGCAAUGGGUUUGUUAUUAUUUUAAAAUUGAUUAGUAAAUAGAUAUUUUAAAAAUUUAUCAGUUUCAAUUCCUAAUAUGGUAAAUAUUGACAUAACAACAACUUUGGCAGAGUGUAAAGGAAUCUGAAGACUGAAAAUUUGAGAACCGCAGACCUAGAACAAUUGUGGUAAGUAAUUCCAUUCCCUUAAAAGUGAUUGGUUUAGGAGCGUGCACGUGACUUAUUUGUCCAAUGACACAAGAGGAAAUUUCCUGCUUUAAAAUAUCUGGAAGGGGUUUUCCUUCUCUUUAA
Molecule: long non-coding RNA, 1114 nt
Filed under: Equus caballus (horse)
Lineage: Eukaryota; Metazoa; Chordata; Mammalia; Perissodactyla; Equidae
Description: lncRNA (ENSECAG00000054027.1)
Source: RNAcentral